RNAcentral lists this transfer RNA (70 nucleotides) under Lachnospiraceae bacterium. RNAcentral's name for it is "tRNA-OTHER". It matches the Rfam family "tRNA". Rfam says of the family: Transfer RNA (tRNA) molecules are approximately 80 nucleotides in length. Lineage: Bacteria; Bacillati; Bacillota; Clostridia; Lachnospirales; Lachnospiraceae. The record is from RNAcentral.
AAACAGUUAGCUCAGUUGGUAGAGCACCACUGAAAUGUGGGCGUCGGGGGUUCGAGUCCCUCACUGCUUC